CUGGGCGGAGGGGGAGACCUCCACCUCCCUGGUGGGUCCCGCUGGCCUGAGAGCGCAGACAGGACUCGGGGAGGGGGAGGGGUCAGUUCUACACCCCUGGGAGCCUUGACUCCCAGCCCAGAGUGCCCACCAGCGACCUUGUUCUUCCUGCAGAAAAGCGAGCCGUUCAGGACUCUCUGUCCGCCUGCAGCCCCCGCCUUCCCCGGUACCUCCGCCGAGAGCCAAGAGGCGUCCAGAGGGGGGCCCAGGCGCACGGUCCCCAGGGAGGGGCCCCGCCCUCAGGUGGGUGCCGAGGUGGCCGCCCACAGAGCAGCAGGCCCAGGCUUCCACAGGGUCAAGCGGUCUCAAGCCGGCGGCUCUCCCUGGUGGAUUCCUGCAGGUGAGUUCACUCUGAGAGCUCAGCCAGGGCCAGCAGGCCUGUCUCUCCCGGAGCCAGGGGCCAGGCCGGGUCAGCUGGAUGCCCGGGGCUCUGGUGACACAGCCCUGCGGCUGAGUGCACACGCUCACACACAUCUGUCCAACCUCACUGGCUUUCCCUUUGGAUUUGCUAAUGCAGCAAGAUUAAUCAGGUCUAACUCAUUAAUUUGCACAGCCCCUCCCUCCCACCUGCGCCCGCUGGAGAGCGCUGGUUGUGGGAACCCAGUAAUCACCGAGGCUGAAUUAGAUUCCUACUGCACAUCCUGGCCCUUGCCUCUGCUGCUCCUGAAAUUGCUGCUUCAAAGGAAACAAAAACUCUGGAUUCAAAGUCCAGUGAGACCAGAUUUGGGGGCACAGCUCUUCUGUGGCCUGAGCCGCCCUAGGGGGCUUGCGGGUAGGUUGGGGGACACUACCAGGCCCUUGCAGACACCAGCCCCGCCUCCCCACC
Molecule: long non-coding RNA, 865 nt
Organism: Pan troglodytes (chimpanzee)
Lineage: Eukaryota; Metazoa; Chordata; Mammalia; Primates; Hominidae
Exons: 3
Source: RefSeq, a predicted model, not a curated record